This 242-nucleotide long non-coding RNA is filed under the name Mytilus galloprovincialis (Mediterranean mussel). Lineage: Eukaryota; Metazoa; Mollusca; Bivalvia; Mytilida; Mytilidae. The record is from RNAcentral.
AGUGGUCGUACAUACAAACGUUCACCAAAUUGUCCCAGUCAAUGGAUGAAUUUAAUGUGUCAAUCAAUGGCCACAGCCACACUGUUUUGAAUUUCAUUCUAUGACUCACUACUCAUCAGUUGAACAUUCCCGCAGAGUUUCAAAAGCAUUACAUAAUGACUUUGCAUUUACACCUUAACACCACCUUAUGCAGAUAUUUUGUAUUUUACAAAUUCCUGAUAAGUUUGGUUGAAAUUCGCCAA